AGCAGGCAAUAAGCGCAAGUGACGGUACCUGCAGAAGAAGCACCGGCUAACUACGUGCCAGCAGCCGCGGUAAUACGUAGGGUGCAAGCGUUGUCCGGAAUUAUUGGGCGUAAAGAGCUCGUAGGCGGUCUGUCGCGUCUGCUGUGAAAAUCCAGGGCUUAACCCUGGACCUGCAGUGGGUACGGGCAGACUAGAGUGCGGUAGGGGAGAUCGGAAUUCCUGGUGUAGCGGUGAAAUGCGCAGAUAUCAGGAGGAACACCGGUGGCGAAGGCGGAUCUCUGGGCCGUAACUGACGCUGAGGAGCGAAAGCAUGGGGAGCGAACAGGAUUAGAUACCCUGGUAGUCCAUGCCGUAAACGUUGGGCGCUAGGUGUGGGGCUCAUUCCACGAGUUCUGUGCCGCAGCAAACGCAUUAAGCGCCCCGCCUGGGGAGUACGGCCGCAAGGCUAAAACUCAAAGGAAUUGACGGGGGCCCGCACAAGCGGCGGAGCAUGCGGAUUAAUUCGAUGCAACGCGAAGAACCUUACCAAGGCUUGACAUACAGGGUAAUCCGGCAGAGACGUCGGGUCCGCAAGGGAUCCUGUACAGGUGGUGCAUGGUUGUCGUCAGCUCGUG
Molecule: ribosomal RNA, 614 nt
Filed under: uncultured bacterium
Lineage: Bacteria
Description: bacterial SSU rRNA
Rfam family: Bacterial small subunit ribosomal RNA
Source: RNAcentral